Molecule: ribosomal RNA, 443 nt
Filed under: Neorickettsia helminthoeca
Lineage: Bacteria; Pseudomonadati; Pseudomonadota; Alphaproteobacteria; Rickettsiales; Anaplasmataceae
Description: bacterial SSU rRNA
Rfam family: Bacterial small subunit ribosomal RNA
Source: RNAcentral
GAACGGACUUUUGACUGCUUGCAGUCGAAAGUCAGUGGCAGACGGGUGCGUAACGCGUGGGAACUUACCUGGUAGUAGGGAAUAACCAAUGGAAACAUUGGGUAAUACUCUAUACGCCCUCAGGGGGAAAGAUUUAUUGCUAUCAGAUAGGCCCGCGUUAGAUUAGCUUGUUGGUGAGGUAAUGGCUCACCAAGGCGACGAUCUAUAGCUGGUCUGAGAGGAUGAUCAGCCACACUGGAACUGAGACACGGUCCAGACUCCUACGGGAGGCAGCAGUGAGGAAUAUUGGACAAUGGGCGAAAGCCUGAUCCAGCCAUGCCGCAUGAGUGAUGAAGGCCCUUGGGUUGUAAAGCUCUUUUAGUGGGGAAGAUAAUGACGGUACCCACAGAAGAAGUCCCGGCUAACUCCGUGCCAGCAGCCGCGGUAAUACGGAGGGGGCUAGC